RNAcentral lists this ribosomal RNA (497 nucleotides) under uncultured bacterium. Its description in RNAcentral is "partial 16S ribosomal RNA". It matches the Rfam family "Bacterial small subunit ribosomal RNA", at positions 28 to 507 of the family's 1533-position model. The record is from RNAcentral.
GAUGAACGCUGGCGGCGUGCCUAAUACAUGCAAGUCGAGCGAACGGACGAGAAGCUUGCUUCUCUGAUGUUAGCGGCGGACGGGUGAGUAACACGUGGAUAACCUACCUAUAAGACUGGGAUAACUUCGGAAAACCGGAGCUAAUACCGGAUAAUAUUUUGAACCGCAUGGUUCAAAAGUGAAAGACGGUCUUGCUGUCACUUAUAGAUGGAUCCGCGCUGCAUUAGCUAGUUGGUAAGGAAACGGCUUACCAAGGCAACGAUGCAUAGCCGACCUGAGAGGGUGAUCGGCCACACUGGAACUGAGACACGGUCCAGACUCCUACGGGAGGCAGCAGUAGGGAAUCUUCCGCAAUGGGCGAAAGCCUGACGGAGCAACGCCGCGUGAGUGAUGAAGGUCUUCGGAUCGUAAAACUCUGUUAUUAGGGAAGAACAUAUGUGUAAGUAACUGUGCACAUCUUGACGGUACCUAAUCAGAAAGCCACGGCUAACUACGUG